AGAGAAUAGAUACCCUGGUAGUCCUAGCCGUAAACGAUGGACACUAGGUGUUGGUGGUAUCAACCCCGCCAGUGCCGUAGCUAAACGCAUUAAGUGUCCCGCCUGGGGAGUACGGCCGCAAGGCUAAAAACUCAAAGGAAUUGACGGGGGCCCGCACAAGCAGCGGAGCGUGGGGUUUAAUUCGACGCAACGCGAAGAACCUUACCAGGGCUUGACAUGACCAGGACCGCGGCGGAAACGUCGCUUCCCCGCAAGGGGCCUGGCCACAGGUGUUGCAUGGCUGUCGUCAGCUCGUGUCGUGAGAUGUUGGGUUAAGUCCCGCAACGAGCGCAACCCUACUGUGUGUUGUAUCACUCACACGGGACUGCCGAGAGAAACUCGGAGGAAGGUGGGGACGACGUCAAGUCAGCAUGGCCCUUACGUCCUGGGCUACACCCACGCUACAAUGGCCGGUACAACGGGCGGCGAAACCGCGAGGUGGAGCAAAUCCCUUAAAGCCGGUCUCAGUUCGGAUUGUAGGCUGCAACUCGCCUACAUGAAGCCGGAGUUGCUAGUAACC
This 559-nucleotide ribosomal RNA is filed under the name uncultured bacterium. Its description in RNAcentral is "bacterial SSU rRNA". It matches the Rfam family "Bacterial small subunit ribosomal RNA", at positions 774 to 1343 of the family's 1533-position model. The record is from RNAcentral.